GCUAACCUGCCCUUGGGAUAGGAAUAACCCCGGGAAACUGGGGCUAAUUCCCAAUAGGUGAAGAACUCUGGGAUGGGUCUUCGCCGGAAAGGAAGCUUGCUUCAUGCUGCAGGCUUCGCCCAAGGAUGGGGCCGCAACCGAUCAGGUUGUUGGUGAGGUAACGGCUCACCAAGCCUUUUACCGGUACGGGCCGUGAGAGCGGGAGCCCGGAGAUGGGCACUGAGACAAGGGCCCAGGCCCUACGGGGCGCAGCAGUCGCGCAAACUUUGCAAUACACGAAAGUGUGACAGGGCUAUCCCGAGUGCCGCCCGCUGAGGGUGGCUUUUGCUCAGUCUAGCAAGCUGGGAGAAUAAGGAGAGGGCAAGUCUGGUGUCAGCCGCCGCGGUAAUACCAGCUCUCCGAGUGGUGUGGAUGUUUAUUGGGCCUAAAGCAUCCGUAGCUGGCUGUUCAAGUCCCCUGUUAAAUCCAGCGAUUUAAUCGUUGGUUUGCGGGGGAUACUGUUUGGCUAGGGGACGGGAGAGGCAGACGUAUUUUCGGGGUAGGGUGAAAUCCUAUAAUCCCGGGAAGACCACCAGUGGCGAAGCUGUCUGCUAGAACGCGCUCGACGUGAGGAUGAAAGCUGGGGGAGCGAACGGAUUAGAUACCCGAUAGUUCCAGCUGUAACUAUGCACGCGAGUGUUUAGGCGGCUACGCCGCUCUAUGCCCCAGAACCUGUACCGGCCGUGGGGAGUACGUUCAAAGAUGAAAUUAAGGAUGGCGGGGAGCACCCCAGGGUGGAACCUUCGGGUAAUGGAGUCACGCCGAAAUUCACGGGGGCGACACCAUGGGGGGCCAAAUAAAGGUCUCCCUAAAAAUUUUCCCAAGGAGAUGGGGGAGGGGCCUGCCCUUCCCCCUUUCGUCCGGGGGGUGUUUCUUUUAAAUCAGGCAACGAUCGGAACCCCUUCCUUUGNUUUAAGGGNUGGCCCGGGGCCCACUGAGGAGGCCCCCCGUUUAAAAAGCGGAGGAGGAAGGAGGGGGCCCCCCGCCAGGCCCAUUAGCCCCGAAUCUCCCCCCCCGGCCCCCCGGGAGUGCAAGGCAGGUACAGUGGGUUCCGGACCUCGUAAGGGGGAGGUAAUCUCGAAAGCCUGCCGUAGUUGGGAUCGUGGGUUGAAACUCACCCUCGUGAACAUGGAAUCCCUAGUAAU
Molecule: ribosomal RNA, 1184 nt
Filed under: uncultured archaeon
Lineage: Archaea
Description: bacterial SSU rRNA
Rfam family: Archaeal small subunit ribosomal RNA
Source: RNAcentral